CAGGGUUUGAUCCUGGCUCAGAUUGAACGCUGGCGGCAGGCCUAACACAUGCAAGUCGAGCGGAUGAAAGGGAGCUUGCUCCUGGAUUCAGCGGCGGACGGGUGAGUAAUGCCUAGGAAUCUGCCUGGUAGUGGGGGAUAACGUCCGGAAACGGGCGCUAAUACCGCAUACGUCCUGAGGGAGAAAGUGGGGGAUCUUCGGACCUCACGCUAUCAGAUGAGCCUAGGUCGGAUUAGCUAGUUGGUGGGGUAAAGGCCUACCAAGGCGACGAUCCGUAACUGGUCUGAGAGGAUGAUCAGUCACACUGGAACUGAGACACGGUCCAGACUCCUACGGGAGGCAGCAGUGGGGAAUAUUGGACAAUGGGCGAAAGCCUGAUCCAGCCACGCCGCGUGUGUGAAGAAGGUCUUCGGAUUGUAAAGCACUUUAAGUUGGGAGGAAGGGCAGUAAGUUAAUACCUUGCUGUUUUGACGUUACCAACAGAAUAAGCACCGGCUAACUUCGUGCCAGCAGCCGCGGUAAUACGAAGGGUGCAAGCGUUAAUCGGAAUUACUGGGCGUAAAGCGCGCGUAGGUGGUUCAGCAAGUUGGAUGUGAAAUCCCCGGGCUCAACCUGGGAACUGCAUCCAAAACUACUGAGCUAGAGUACGGUAGAGGGUGGUGGAAUUUCCUGUGUAGCGGUGAAAUGCGUAGAUAUAGGAAGGAACACCAGUGGCGAAGGCGACCACCUGGACUGAUACUGACACUGAGGUGCGAAAGCGUGGGGAGCAAACAGGAUUAGAUACCCUGGUAGUCCACGCCGUAAACGAUGUCGACUAGCCGUUGGGAUCCUUGAGAUCUUAGUGGCGCAGCUAACGCGAUAAGUCGACCGCCUGGGGAGUACGGCCGCAAGGUAAAACUCAAAGGAAUUGACGGU
This 915-nucleotide ribosomal RNA is filed under the name uncultured bacterium. Its description in RNAcentral is "bacterial SSU rRNA". It matches the Rfam family "Bacterial small subunit ribosomal RNA", at positions 8 to 917 of the family's 1533-position model. The record is from RNAcentral.